UUGAUCCUGGCUCAGAAUCAACGCUGGCGGCGUGCCUAACACAUGCAAGUCGAACGCGAAAGUUCCGCAAGGAAUGAGUAGAGUGGCAAACGGGUGAGUUACACGUGGGUGACCUGCCUUCGAGUGGGGGAUAACGUCCCGAAAGGGACUCUAAUACCGCAUAACAUCCUGCCUUUUAAGAGGCGGAAAUCAAAGCUGGUGAUCGCAAGACCUGGCGCUUGAAGAGGGGCCCGCGUCCGAUUAGCUAGUUGGUGGGGUAACGGCUCACCAAGGCGACGAUCGGUAGCCGGCCUAAGAGGUCGGACGGCCACACUGGGACUGAGACACGGCCCAGACUCCUACGGGAGGCUGCAGUGGGGAAUUGUUCGCAAUGGGCGCAAGCCUGACGACGCAACGCCGUGUGGAGGAUGAAGACCUUCGGGUCGUAAACUCCUUUCGAUCGAGACGAAUGGCCUCCGCGUGAACAGCGCGGGGGAAUGACGGUACCGAGAGAAGAAGCUCCGGCUAACUCCGUGCCAGCAGCCGCGGUAAUAAGGU
Molecule: ribosomal RNA, 537 nt
Filed under: uncultured Acidobacteriota bacterium
Lineage: Bacteria; Pseudomonadati; Acidobacteriota
Description: bacterial SSU rRNA
Rfam family: Bacterial small subunit ribosomal RNA
Source: RNAcentral